This 266-nucleotide long non-coding RNA is filed under the name Coffea arabica (coffee). RNAcentral's name for it is "long non-coding RNA (CARA_LNC006367)". The record is from RNAcentral. Lineage: Eukaryota; Viridiplantae; Streptophyta; Magnoliopsida; Gentianales; Rubiaceae.
ACAUUUUAUAUAUGCAUCAUAAAAUCAGAAAAAUUGACUGAAAAUUUUGCUCUGCACAAGUUAAAACUGGAAUGUUGUAGUAGUUUGUGACUCAAUUUGGACCAAUUUAUGAAUUGAAUUUCUUUGAGGUGUCCUUUAAAGAUUAUUAGUACUUCAAGUUUAAUUUUUAACGGGGCAAGUUGUAUGAUUUUUUGACAUUUAUAACUCAAAUUAUGAUUUUUCAAAGGAAUGAUACUUGCUGAAAACUUCCAGUUUCAAAAGUACUC